This 85-nucleotide transfer RNA is filed under the name Gammaproteobacteria bacterium. RNAcentral's name for it is "tRNA-Leu". It matches the Rfam family "tRNA". Rfam says of the family: Transfer RNA (tRNA) molecules are approximately 80 nucleotides in length. Their secondary structure includes four short double-helical elements and three loops (D, anti-codon, and T loops). Further hydrogen bonds mediate the characteristic L-shaped molecular structure. tRNAs have two regions of fundamental functional importance: the anti-codon, which is responsible for specific mRNA codon recognition, and the 3' end, to which the tRNAs corresponding amino acid is attached (by aminoacyl-tRNA synthetases). tRNAs cope with the degeneracy of the genetic code in two manners: having more than one tRNA (with a specific anti-codon) for a particular amino acid; and 'wobble' base-pairing, i.e. permitting non-standard base-pairing at the 3rd anti-codon position. Lineage: Bacteria; Pseudomonadati; Pseudomonadota; Gammaproteobacteria. RNAcentral also lists the same sequence under 1 other name. The record is from RNAcentral.
GCCGGGGUGGUGAAACUGGUAGACGCGCCGGAUUCAAAAUCCGGUCCCUUCGGGGGUGUCGGUUCGAUUCCGACCCUCGGCACCA